This 527-nucleotide ribosomal RNA is filed under the name Escherichia coli. RNAcentral describes it as "partial 23S ribosomal RNA". It matches the Rfam family "Bacterial large subunit ribosomal RNA", at positions 609 to 1136 of the family's 2925-position model. Lineage: Bacteria; Pseudomonadati; Pseudomonadota; Gammaproteobacteria; Enterobacterales; Enterobacteriaceae. The record is from RNAcentral.
UGUAUAAUGGGUCAGCGACUUAUAUUCUGUAGCAAGGUUAACCGAAUAGGGGAGCCGAAGGGAAACCGAGUCUUAACUGGGCGUUAAGUUGCAGGGUAUAGACCCGAAACCCGGUGAUCUAGCCAUGGGCAGGUUGAAGGUUGGGUAACACUAACUGGAGGACCGAACCGACUAAUGUUGAAAAAUUAGCGGAUGACUUGUGGCUGGGGGUGAAAGGCCAAUCAAACCGGGAGAUAGCUGGUUCUCCCCGAAAGCUAUUUAGGUAGCGCCUCGUGAAUUCAUCUCCGGGGGUAGAGCACUGUUUCGGCAAGGGGGUCAUCCCGACUUACCAACCCGAUGCAAACUGCGAAUACCGGAGAAUGUUAUCACGGGAGACACACGGCGGGUGCUAACGUCCGUCGUGAAGAGGGAAACAACCCAGACCGCCAGCUAAGGUCCCAAAGUCAUGGUUAAGUGGGAAACGAUGUGGGAAGGCCCAGACAGCCAGGAUGUUGGCUUAGAAGCAGCCAUCAUUUAAAGAAAGCGUA